UACGAAGGGGGCUAGCGUUGUUCGGAAUCACUGGGCGUAAAGGGCGCGUAGGCGGCCGAUCAAGUCGGGGGUGAAGGCCUGUGGCUCAACCACAGAAUUGCCUUCGAUACUGUUUGGCUUGAGACCGGAAGAGGUAAGUGGAACUGCGAGUGUAGAGGUGAAAUUCGUAGAUAUUCGCAAGAACACCAGUGGCGAAGGCGGCUUACUGGUCCGGUUCUGACGCUGAGGCGCGAAAGCGUGGGGAGCAAACAGG
This 253-nucleotide ribosomal RNA is filed under the name uncultured bacterium. Its description in RNAcentral is "partial 16S ribosomal RNA". It matches the Rfam family "Bacterial small subunit ribosomal RNA", at positions 524 to 776 of the family's 1533-position model. The record is from RNAcentral.